UCGAUGAUUAUUAUCGAUAUACUCUCCAGGCAUCAAAUCCACCAGUCAGCCAGCCAGCCAGUCAGCCAUGAUCAACAUUCAAAAACAGAUAUUUUUUUUUUGUUCACAAAUUUAAAAUUUUGAAAAAUUAAUGCAAAAGAAAAAAUUGAUUUUCAUAAUGAUUCCAUUAAAAUGGUCCAAUCACAUGAUGUUGAUGAUGAUUUUUUUUUACAACAGACCGGCAUACGUUGUACUUGAUAAGUGUUUGUUGUUGUUGUACAUUUUUUUUUUUUUGUUCCAAAUAAAAAAAAAUAGCUAGA
Molecule: non-coding RNA, 299 nt
Organism: Dermatophagoides farinae (American house dust mite)
Lineage: Eukaryota; Metazoa; Arthropoda; Arachnida; Sarcoptiformes; Pyroglyphidae
Source: RefSeq, a predicted model, not a curated record